Molecule: ribosomal RNA, 997 nt
Filed under: Escherichia coli
Lineage: Bacteria; Pseudomonadati; Pseudomonadota; Gammaproteobacteria; Enterobacterales; Enterobacteriaceae
Description: partial 23S ribosomal RNA
Rfam family: Bacterial large subunit ribosomal RNA
Source: RNAcentral
AUUAACUGAAUCCAUAGGUUAAUGAGGCGAACCGGGGGAACUGAAACAUCUAAGUACCCCGAGGAAAAGAAAUCAACCGAGAUUCCCCCAGUAGCGGCGAGCGAACGGGGAGGAGCCCAGAGCCUGAAUCAGUGUGUGUGUUAGUGGAAGCGUCUGGAAAGGCGCGCGAUACAGGGUGACAGCCCCGUACACAAAAAUGCACAUGCUGUGAGCUCGAUGAGUAGGGCGGGACACGUGGUAUCCUGUCUGAAUAUGGGGGGACCAUCCUCCAAGGCUAAAUACUCCUGACUGACCGAUAGUGAACCAGUACCGUGAGGGAAAGGCGAAAAGAACCCCGGCGAGGGGAGUGAAAAAGAACCUGAAACCGUGUACGUACAAGCAGUGGGAGCCUCUUUAUGGGGUGACUGCGUACCUUUUGUAUAAUGGGUCAGCGACUUAUAUUCUGUAGCAAGGUUAACCGAAUAGGGGAGCCGAAGGGAAACCGAGUCUUAACUGGGCGUUAAGUUGCAGGGUAUAGACCCGAAACCCGGUGAUCUAGCCAUGGGCAGGUUGAAGGUUGGGUAACACUAACUGGAGGACCGAACCGACUAAUGUUGAAAAAUUAGCGGAUGACUUGUGGCUGGGGGUGAAAGGCCAAUCAAACCGGGAGAUAGCUGGUUCUCCCCGAAAGCUAUUUAGGUAGCGCCUCGUGAAUUCAUCUCCGGGGGUAGAGCACUGUUUCGGCAAGGGGGUCAUCCCGACUUACCAACCCGAUGCAAACUGCGAAUACCGGAGAAUGUUAUCACGGGAGACACACGGCGGGUGCUAACGUCCGUCGUGAAGAGGGAAACAACCCAGACCGCCAGCUAAGGUCCCAAAGUCAUGGUUAAGUGGGAAACGAUGUGGGAAGGCCCAGACAGCCAGGAUGUUGGCUUAGAAGCAGCCAUCAUUUAAAGAAAGCGUAAUAGCUCACUGGUCGAGUCGGCCUGCGCGGAAGAUGUAACGGGGCUAAACCAUG